UUGGAACUGAUAUCAGGC
RNAcentral lists this unclassified non-coding RNA (18 nucleotides) under Pythium insidiosum. RNAcentral describes it as "partial large subunit ribosomal RNA". Lineage: Eukaryota; Oomycota; Peronosporomycetes; Pythiales; Pythiaceae. The record is from RNAcentral.